UAGGGAAUCUUCGGCAAUGACGAAAGUCUGACCGAGCAACGCCGCGUGAGUGAAGAAGGUUUUCGAAUCGUAAAACUCUGUUGGUAGAGAAGAACGUUGGUGAGAGUGGAAAGCUCAUCAAGUGACGGUAACUACCCAGAAAGGGACGGCUAACUACGUGCCAG
This 164-nucleotide ribosomal RNA is filed under the name uncultured bacterium. Its description in RNAcentral is "partial 16S rRNA". It matches the Rfam family "Bacterial small subunit ribosomal RNA", at positions 355 to 511 of the family's 1533-position model. The record is from RNAcentral.